GACGAACGCUGGCGGCGUGCCUAACACAUGCAAGUCGAACGAAGCUGCGAUGAAGGAGGCUUCGGCCAAUGGAUUCGUAGACUUAGUGGCGGACGGGUGAGUAAUGCGUGAGCAACCUGCCCUUCAGAGGGGGACAACAGUUGGAAACGACUGCUAAUACCGCAUGACAUCAUUGGGAGGCAUCUCCUGGUGAUCAAAGAUUUAUCGCUGAAGGAUGGGCUCACGUCUGAUUAGCUAGUUGGUGAGGUAACGGCUCACCAAGGCUGCGAUCAGUAGCCGGACUGAGAGGUUGAACGGCCACAUUGGGACUGAGAUACGGCCCAGACUCC
RNAcentral lists this ribosomal RNA (329 nucleotides) under uncultured Oscillospiraceae bacterium. RNAcentral describes it as "bacterial SSU rRNA". It matches the Rfam family "Bacterial small subunit ribosomal RNA", at positions 28 to 339 of the family's 1533-position model. The record is from RNAcentral. Lineage: Bacteria; Bacillati; Bacillota; Clostridia; Eubacteriales; Oscillospiraceae.